This 402-nucleotide ribosomal RNA is filed under the name uncultured bacterium. Its description in RNAcentral is "bacterial SSU rRNA". It matches the Rfam family "Bacterial small subunit ribosomal RNA", at positions 355 to 774 of the family's 1533-position model. The record is from RNAcentral.
UGGGGAAUAUUGGACAAUGGGCGCAAGCCUGAUCCAGCCAUGCCGCGUGAGUGAUGAAGGCCUUAGGGUUGUAAAGCUCUUUUGUCCGGGAAGAUAAUGACCGUACCGGAAGAAUAAGCUCCGGCUAACUUCGUGCCAGCAGCCGCGGUAAUACGAAGGGAGCUAGCGUUGUUCGGAAUUACUGGGCGUAAAGCGCAUGCAGGCGGAUCGUUAAGUCGAGGGUGAAAUCCCAGGGCUCAACCCUGGAACUGCCUUCGAUACUGGCGACCUUGAGUCCGGGAGAGGUGAGUGGAACUCCGAGUGUAGAGGUGAAAUUCGUAGAUAUUCGGAAGAACACCAGUGGCGAAGGCGGCUCACUGGCCCUGUACUGACGCUGAGAUGCGAAAGCGUGGGGAGCAAACA